Molecule: unclassified non-coding RNA, 253 nt
Filed under: uncultured Phycisphaeraceae bacterium
Lineage: Bacteria; Pseudomonadati; Planctomycetota; Phycisphaerae; Phycisphaerales; Phycisphaeraceae
Description: contains 16S-23S intergenic spacer region
Rfam family: Bacterial small subunit ribosomal RNA
Source: RNAcentral
UACGGAGGGUGCAAGCGUUAAUCGGAAUCACUGGGCUUAAAGGGUCCGCAGGCGGACAGGCAAGUAUCUUGUGAAAUACCACGGCUCAACCGUGGAAUUGCUCGGUAAACUGCCUGUCUUGAACACGGUAGGGGCCAUCGGAACUCUAGGUGGAGCGGUGAAAUGCGUAGAUAUCUAGAGGAACGCCAGAGGCGAAGGCGGAUGGCUGGGCCGUUGUUGACGCUCAGGGACGAAAGCGUGGGUAGCGAACGGG